GUGAUGGCGGGAACUCAAAGGAGACUGCCGGUGAUAAACCGGAGGAAGGUGGGGAUGACGUCAAGUCAUCAUGGCCCUUACGAGUAGGGCUACACACGUGCUACAAUGGCGUAUACAAAGGGAAGCGACCCCGCGAGGGCAAGCGGAACUCAUAAAGUACGUCGUAGUCCGGAUUGGAGUCUGCAACUCGACUCCAUGAAGUCGGAAUCGCUAGUAAUCGUAGAUCAGAAUGCUACGGUGAAUACGUUCCCGGGCCUUGUACACACCGCCCGUCACACCAUGGGAGUGGGUUGCAAAAGAAGUAGGUAGCUUAACCUCCGGGAGGGCGCUUACCACUUUGUGAUUCAUGACUGGGGUGAAGUCGUAACAAGGUAACCGUAGGGGAACCUGCGGUUGGAUCACCUCCUUACCU
Molecule: ribosomal RNA, 412 nt
Filed under: Salmonella enterica subsp. enterica serovar Enteritidis
Lineage: Bacteria; Pseudomonadati; Pseudomonadota; Gammaproteobacteria; Enterobacterales; Enterobacteriaceae
Description: bacterial SSU rRNA
Rfam family: Bacterial small subunit ribosomal RNA
Source: RNAcentral